GACAGAGGGUGCAAACGUUGUUCGGAUUUACUGGGCGUAAAGAGCGUGUAGGCGGCCAGAAAAGUCCGCUGUGAAAACUCGAGGCUCAACUUCGAGCUGUCGGUGGAAACUUUCUGGCUAGAGUCCGGAAGAGGAGAAUGGAAUUCCUGGUGUAGCGGUGAAAUGCGCAGAUAUCAGGAAGAACACCCGUGGCGAAGGCGGUUCUCUGGGACGGUACUGACGCUGAGACGCGAAAGCGUGGGGAGCGAACAGG
Molecule: ribosomal RNA, 253 nt
Filed under: uncultured bacterium
Lineage: Bacteria
Description: partial 16S ribosomal RNA
Rfam family: Bacterial small subunit ribosomal RNA
Source: RNAcentral